Neopsephotus bourkii (Bourke's parrot) is the source of this 216-nucleotide long non-coding RNA. RefSeq lists it as uncharacterized. The transcript has 2 exons. Lineage: Eukaryota; Metazoa; Chordata; Aves; Psittaciformes; Psittacidae. The record is from RefSeq and is a predicted model, not a curated record.
CCCCGGCGUCUCUCCCCGCUGCGGCACUGGAGGGCGGCCGGCCAAAGAGACCGCCUGACUGCCGCUCACCCCGCACAGGUGCCGUGCUGGAAACGGUGCUUGAGGAAGGCUGACUGAAAGGGAUGUAAUGCUCCUGUAUUUCCAGACCUCUGUGAUCUUGGGAAAGACCUACAGUAACCUUCUAAGCCAUUCGCUGAGGAAACUUAGAUACUAACG